AAUAAAUGAUUUCAGCAUUAACCCAAGAAGCUAGAAAGUGAAUAGCAAAAGAACCAUAUGAAAAGAGAAAGGAAAUAGGUAAAUGUAGAAAUUAAUGAAUUAAAAAUAGUAGAAUUGUUAAAUAUAAUCUGGUUCCUGAAAAAGACCAAUAAAAUAAGCAAACCUCUGGCAAAGGUAAUAAAGAAGACAUACUUAAAUCUACAAAUAAUAAUGGGAAUAUAAUAGUAUACUGAGGAAAUUUUUAUUUUAAUUCUGGGCUUACUCUGUGCUAAUAAAUUGAACAUCUUGAUGGAAUGGAUCAUUUUAUAGGCAAAUAUAAAUUAUCAAAAUUGACUGAAGAAGAAAGCCUGAAUAGACCAAUUACCAUGGAAGAAAUUAAAAGUUAUCAAAGAACUGUCCCUUCACAAGGUGGUUUUGACAGGUGAGUUUUAUCAAACAUUCAGGGAACAGGUUGUUUCAUUGAACAUGAAAAGAAGAAAAUACUUUUUGGUUAAUUAUUGAAAGAAGCAUAAUCCUUAUACAAGAAUCUGACAAGGCAAAAAAUUUUCUAGGUCAAUCUCACUUAUAUAGAAAAGAAAUAAAAUAGCAUAUUGAAUCUAGCAGUACCUUAAAAGAAUAAUAUUAUAACAGCAAAUAGAUGUAAAUCAACUGUAGUCCAAUUUUUUUUAAAAAGUGAUAAAUCAGGGUCGGAAAAAUACAUCCAGUGGAGAUAAAUAUGCAAGAUCCAUGUUCUGACAUCUUAAGUUUGGUUCUAAAGCUAUAAAGUUACAGAAAUUGAAGAGUUUAUCACAUGAAAAGUACACACAUUGCUCAGGAGAAGGGUGGCUAUUUCAGAUACAGAGACUUGAGAAGUUUCUCCUGUGGUUUCUUAGAAAGGGGACAGUGAGCAGUGCAAUGAACAUCAUUUAAAAUAACAUCCGGGCUUCCCUGUUUUGUAAGGCUAUUCUUAAUAACGUCCACCAAUGCAAAAGGAGUGCAAAAAAAAAAAGGCAGAUAAGAGUUUGUUUGGAGAUUGAAAGAAUGGUGCAAAACUAGGAAAUAUAUUACUAUAAUUCACCAUGGUAGCAGAUCAAAGAAAAAAAUUUUUAAUUUGAUAGAUGUCAAAAAGACUUGAUAAAAUUUUACCCUCAAUCCAGAUAUAACCAUUAAUAGGCUAGGUCUAGAAGAAUACUUCUUUAACAUGAUAGAGUGUUGAAACCUCAAGAUAGGGAUGCCUGGUAACCUUGCUGUUUUUCAGUAGUGUUCUUAAAACUCUGAUUGAUGUAGGUAUAAAGAUAAAGAAAUAUAGGUAAUUAAUACAGCAUUGUAAAUCAACUAUACUUCAAUAUAAACAGAAAAAGAAAAAAAUACUGGAGAGGAAGAAGUGUUUUUCAUUUUUUGCAGAUAACGUCUAUAUUAGUAGUUCUUCACUCCAUCAGACCUAGUUCUCCCUUUUUUGUAAUAAAUAUUUUGUAUUCCUCCUUUAUUAACCUGAAAUGAAAUUCAUAGAUAAUGUGUUUCAUUUUUUUUAAAAUGAUAUAAUGGCCUAGUUGUAAUGUAAAGGACAGUAAAUGUAAUUGAUAGUAAAAUCAAAUGUGUA
Molecule: non-coding RNA, 1579 nt
Organism: Kogia breviceps (pygmy sperm whale)
Lineage: Eukaryota; Metazoa; Chordata; Mammalia; Artiodactyla; Physeteridae
Source: RefSeq, a predicted model, not a curated record